RNAcentral lists this ribosomal RNA (461 nucleotides) under uncultured bacterium. Its description in RNAcentral is "partial 16S ribosomal RNA". It matches the Rfam family "Bacterial small subunit ribosomal RNA", at positions 339 to 795 of the family's 1533-position model. The record is from RNAcentral.
CUACGGGGCGCUCCAGUCGAGAAUCUUCGGCAAUGGACGAAAGUCUGACCGAGCGACGCCGCGUGUACGAUGAAGGCCUUCGGGUUGUAAAGUACUGUCAGUUGGGAGGAAAUAUUUGGGGGUCAUCCCCCUUAUUUGACCCAUCUUCAGAGGAAGUGCGGGCUAAGUUCGUGCCAGCAGCCGCGGUAAUACGAACCGCACGAACGUUAUUCGGAAUCACUGGGCUUAAAGGGUGCGUAGGCGGUCUAGUAAGUUGGGUGUGAAAUCCCUCGGCUCAACCGAGGAAUUGCGCUCAAUACUGCUAGACUUGAGGGAGAUAGAGGUAAGCGGAACUCAGGGUGGAGCGGUGAAAUGUGUUGAUAUCCUGGGGAACACCAGUUGCGAAAGCGGCUUACUGGGUCUCUUCUGACGCUGAGGCACGAAAGCUAGGGGAGCGAACGGGAUUAGAUACCCCCGUAGUC